Molecule: non-coding RNA, 4876 nt
Organism: Rattus norvegicus (Norway rat)
Lineage: Eukaryota; Metazoa; Chordata; Mammalia; Rodentia; Muridae
Source: RefSeq, a predicted model, not a curated record
CUCUCUCUCUCCCUCCUUCCCUCCUAAUUGCAAUCUUUUAAACUACACCAACAAAAUAUCUCUGGCUAGUAACUUACCGACUACGGUUCUGUGACCUGUCUUAAACUAGUUUUUAGUGGUUGGGUAUGACAUGCACUGAUGUUUUAAAUAUAUUCCCUCAAGCUGUUAGAAAUGAAAGAGAUGGGGGAAGAGGAGCCUAGUAGUGUAAGUAGUCUUGAAGGCUUUGAGGAUGGACCCCUCCCUCAUCCCCCCACCUCCUAUUUCCCUGGUAGCUCUAAAAAGUUAAAUAACUCCUUUGCCUCCAUUACCUCCACCCUUAAGAGUUAAUCCAGACCUGGGCAUGGUGGCACAUCCCAGCACUAAGGAGGCAGAGACAAGGGUAUCGCUGAGUCCAAGUUCGGUAUGGUCUAUAUAGCAAAUUCCAGCCAGAACUAAAAAAACGGGAAGACGGUGCUGGAGUUGGCUUAACAGGCAAAGACAAAAUGCCACCAAGCCUACCUGAGUUCAAUCUUCAGGAAACACACACAGUGGAAGAGAGAACCAAUUUCUGCAAUAUCAUCCGAUACAUACACACACAAAGUAUUUUUUAAAGAUUCAUUUGUAAAAUUUUACAUGUACGUAUAUGAAUAUUUUGCCUACAUGUAUGUAUAUGUUGGGGUCCAGGAGUCGCCCCACAAACCACACAAACACCCAUCUCAGUCAGACAGGGAUGGUUUAUUGAAUGAACACCUUAAGAUUGAUCAAUCAAGGGGUUGGGGAUUUAGCUCAGUGGUAGAGCGCUUACCUAGGAAGCUCAAGGCCCUGGGUUCGGUCCCCAGCUCCAAAAAAAAGAACCAAAAAAAAAAAAAAAAAAAGAUUGAUCAAUCAAGAGGUUGGGGAUUUAGCUCAGUGGUAGAGUGCUUGCCUAGCAAACGCAAGGCCCUGGGUUCAGUCCUCAGCUCUGGAAAAACACACACACACACACACACACACACACACACACACACACACAACACAAGAUUGAUCAAUCAAGGUUGCAGCUCAGAAUUCCAGGGCUGAGCUACAACUACAAACAUUUCUCAGAGCAGCUUAUAAAGGAAAAAACACAAAAGCACAGUGAGUUCAUUCCCGGGUGCAGGAAGUGCUGCCGGGUGGUCAGCUCUGACAGAAACCAUUUUAGACUUAAGAGCUCAUUUUGACAUUUAAUUUGAUGGGUACUACAUAAAACUUUGUGGAAUUUCUUAACAUUAUCAAACUUUGUACCGAACAUAACAAGAUAUGUAAUCAGCAUGACUUUGUUCUGAGUCAAGUUCUUUUCUGUGUCAGUGACUGGCAGGCACAUUACAGCAACAAUAUGAAAUAGCUGGCAGGCAUGGAACAAAAUGACUACAGCUAUGCAGGGUGGAGUUGGCAGACCUCAACAUAUAUAUGCACACCAAUGGAUGCUUGUUGCUUAAGGAGGCCAGAAAGGAGGGUCAGAUCCCUCAGAACUGGAUUUAGAGAUGGAGACAAGCCUCAUGAAACUUAGGCCCUCUGCAGGAGCAAAUGUUUUUAACCAUUUCUCUGGCUCCCUAAAAACAAAAACCAAAAAACAAUUUGUAAUGGCCAUUCCUGGUUGUCAACUUGACUAUAUCUGGAAUGAACUACAAUACAGAAUUGGAGGGCUCACCUGUGAUCCAGAUCCUGAGGCUGGGAGAUACAAGUUUCUGACCUGAAUCUUGGUAUGGAAAUCCUGAGGCAUAGUGGCUAUGAAAAGCUUAGACUCGAUCAAGGUAGUGCAUGCCUUUAAUCCCAGGAGACUGAGGCAAGCAGAUCUCUGAGUUCAAAUCCAGUCUUGCUUUGGGAUUACAGUUAAGUGAUUGGAUGAAUCUCAGAAACGACCUUGAACUUUGGACUUUAACAUUGUCAAGACUGCUAUAGACUGUGGGGCUUUGGAAGCUGGACUAAAUGCAUUUUUUAUUAUGUUAUGGCUAGAUAUGACUCUCAUAGACUCAUGUGUUUGAACAAGCCUAUGAGGGCCAGGGAGUGAAAUGUGAUGGUUUGUAUAUGGUUGACUCAGGGAGUGGCCUUGUUGGAUUAGAUAUGCCACUGUGGUUGUAAGACCUUUACCCUAGCUGCCUGGAAGUCAGUUUUCUACUAGCAGCCUUCAGAUGAAGAUGUAGAACUCUCAGCUCCUCCUGCACCAGGCCUGCCUGGAUGCUGCCAUGCUCCCACCUUGAUGAUAGUGGACUGAACCUCUGAACCUGUAAGCCAGCUCCAGUUAAUUGUUGUCCUUUAUAAGACUUGCCUUGGUCACGGUGUCUGUUCACAGCAGUAAAACCCUAAGACAAUCAUCAUCAUCAUCAUCGUCGUCGUCGUCGUCCUGAAUAUAUACCCCAGACUGUCAAUCACUUGGCCAACUCCAUCCCUUAAAUCUGAUUCACCUGAAAUUAUGCUAAAGAGAUGGGAGAAAUACUUAUCUUUCCCAGAAACCAUAGUUCAUUGUACCCCCCACCCAACCAACUGGGGCUAUAGAAGAAUGGCAGCUGCAAUAGUAGCUAUUUUGUUGACAAUUUCAUGAGAUUUAUAAUCACCAUGGAAACAAAGCUCUAAGCAUGUCUGUGAGAAUUUCUAGACUAACCACCCUAAAUGUAGAUUGGCACAAUCCUACAGACAGGGUCUUGGACUAAAUAAAAAACAGGAACCAGGAGCUGAAGAGUUGGCUCAGUGGUUAAGAGCACUGACUGCUCUAUCAAAGGACCUGGGUUCAAUUUCCAGCACCCAUAUGGUAGCUUACAAGUAUUUGUAACUGCAGUCCAGCACCCUCUUCUGUGGACACUGCACGUACAUGGUACACAGUCAUAUAGGCAAGCAGAACAUCCAUACACAUAAUAAAUAUGUUUGCGGGUGAGUACCUAUCUAAGAACCAGCACUUACUGGUGUUUUUCUAAAACAUUUUAUGUAUCACAGUAGCACUCAUCUCUUCUUUGUAUCCACCCUACCUCCAAAAAGAAAAUAAAAAACAAAACUAAAAAAAAAUUAAAUACAACAUAACAAACAUCUUGUCGUGGAAGCAGUAGUGUGUUCUGGGUCUCACUGUCCUUGUGGAUUGUGAGCCGAUUUGAUCCACAAGGACAAAGGGAGCAGAGAGAGUGGAGGGGCGGGGAGCCCUGUGAGUAUGUAUGGUAAAUAAACCACACCAAGACUGCUUGUCAGUAGGGAGAUCAACUUUAUGGUGAGUGAAGGCUUAUAAGGCUUGGGGGACUGAGGGCAGGGACAUGAGGAUGGGAAAAGGUUUUAGGAUACCUGGAAUUCCUCACUGGUGUGGGGAAGUCAUUCAGGAAUCUCAGGUGCUGGCUGAACAGGUUCUGUCAGAAGAAAGGAAAUUGAUCCCGUAAUCUAAUUGAGGCUACAUAGCAUGCCUCAGGUAGAUGUGGGGGCUUAGAAUUCCUUAGACAAAGUCAGAGGAGAAACUCUGCUUGUUAAGGAGGGAGUCCUCCAUUAUACACACAACUCCGGAAGGCUAUCUGGUCAAUCCAACCGUAAUUAGCAGUUUUCACAGUGUGUCAUUGUGUGUCCCACAGCAUACUCCUUUGUCCACACAUCUUUACUUGCAAAUGUUCAUGCAAUGAGUCAUUGGUCUGGUUUGAGGCUGCUGGUUUCUGCUAAUCUAUCUAGAAUGGAUUCUCACUGGGACUCCUCUCAUAUAUCCUGUUGUUGCCCUGUGUCAUAGAACUGCAGGACUUUCACAUGCCCCAGCACUUCAGAUGUUGGGGUGGGCCGACUCAAAGCCUUGGAUCUGGGCCUGGGUCGUAGCCCACCAGCUCUCCCACACCCAUACCAUCAGGGCAAGCUCUGGGGUACUGUCCCAGCCAGCUCCCACAAUGUCAUUGCUGGCAAGGGACAGAGCCAGCUCUUCUGAUCUCAUGCCCUCAGGACUACCUCAUCUGUUCCCACAAAGCAAUGCUGUACAAUCAAGGGCCUGUUCUGAGUGUGCAGCUUGUGAGGGGCUGGGCUAGCUCUCAUUCCUGCUCUCACACCCUCAGGGCCAGCUUGCAUGGCUAGCCACCAGGUCCAUCUCUACUGUGCUGCUCAGGCAAGGUGCGGGACCCACUCUCCGGAGUGCUGCAGUCAGCAAGGGACAGGGCCAUUUCUCCUGAUUUCAUGCCCCUUGGGCCUGCUCUUCCACAGCUCGGGUGAUGAGGAAGGAGCCUUCCUUGGAUCACUGCUGUUACAGUCGUGUAUAGAAGUACACUGAACCUGAAGAAAGGCUGUCUGCAGCAUUAGACUGUAGUCUGCCCAGUCCUUCCAGGUCCUCAAGCCCCAGGUCUCACAGACACAGAUCUGCGUAGGGUGGCCAGAGAGUCAACACACUACCACAGCUUUCUUUUUAAAGAGGAGGAAACAGGCUUGCCUCCACCCCUUCCUUCUUUUCCUUCUAGUUUUUUGUUUUGUUUUGUUUAAGAAGAUGUUACUCUGUCUUGGCUGUCCUGGAACUCAAUUUGUAUACCAGGAUGGCCUCAAACUCACAGAGCUCCCCUGCCUCUACCUCUGAGGUGCUGAGAUUAAAGGCGAGUUUCAGCAGACCAGCCAUGCACUCUUCUUACUACCUGCAGAACCUAAAUAGUGAAGGUGGGAUGGUCUGCAUAUGCUUGGCCCAGUGGGUGGCACUAUUAGAAGGCGUGGCCUUGUUGGAGGAAGUGUGUCACUGUGGGGUGGGCUUGGAGACACUCCUCCUAGCUGCCUGAGGAUGCUCAGUCUGUUCCUGGCUUCCUUCAGGUGAAGAUGUAGAACUCAGCUCCUCCUGCACCACGACUGCCUGGAUGCUGUGAUGCUGCCAUGCUCCUACCUUGAUGAUAAUGGACUGAACCUCUGAACCUGGAAGCCAGCCCUAAUUAAAUGUUGUCGUUUAUAAAAU